UGGAGCUCCGUCCACUGUAUGUGAUACUAUUGCAGAUGAAACUCCUUUGCUCCAUAGUAACAGGUAACCAUGGUUAACAGAAGAAUAACAAUGAUUUCAAGCACCACCCUCCUUUUAAAGCUGUUAUUGUCUAACUCAAUGCAUGACAGAGUGAUCUCCAGCCUUGUCCUUGUCAACACUCUCACCUGUGUUAAUAAGAGAAUCAAUGACAUGAUGCCAGCUGGUCCUUUUGUGGCAGGGCUAAAAUUUAUUCUUUUUUUUUCCUGAUUAAGUUUUUAUGGCAUUUUCAUGGCAAAGAGGAACUUUGCAAUUAAUUGCAAUUCAUCUGAUCACACUUCAUAACAUUCUGGAGCACUGUGUUUGCAAAUUGCCAUAAUAAAAAUUAAGAUAGCAAACUGAAAAUAUAAAUUAUUAAUAUUUGUGUCAUUCACAACAUUUUGUGGCCACGGUUGUAAAGACACAAGACGCAAUUUCCACUUGAAAUUAAUAAAAAGUAGGAAAACACAGAAACGUUACAAAUAUAACUUCAUGACUCGUUACAUUACAAAAUGAUAUUCCGGCCUUUCCUGAAUGGUUGGUUCAAUAUAUUAUGUUAGUUUGUCCUAACACUGUGAGUGCCGACCAGUAAAUGUUCUUCAUGCAGUUCAGACUUGUUCUGGGUUAAAAGUUACUAGGGUCAAUUAUUUUCAAAUCAAUUGGUAUAAAGCACAUUCAGACAUAAACCCAACCCCUUAAAUUUUAGUUAAACUUAUGGAAAGGUGCUCUACAGUCAUGUGUGUGUGUGAGUGAUUUCACACAAUAAAAGAUCUUAUUAAAAGAGCAUACAGUUAAGACACAACCUGUUGCAUUGUCCAGUUAUUGAUUGUAAAAACACAAUGACUGUGACAGCACUUCAGUUGUGUCAAACAGUAGGUGUGUCUCUGAUACUGUAUUCUCUCCACAGAGACAGUGACAAUACUGAGACGCUCUUGUCCUCCAGCUGCAUGCAGAGAAAGUUAUAAAAAAUAAAAAAAUAAUUAAAAUUAUUUUAUGUUCCAAAGUUGUAAUGAAUAAAUCCUGCAAAAUACAUUGAUUAUUUUGCAUUAUUUAGUAUUUAUUAUUUAUCUAAUUAUUG
This is a long non-coding RNA of Clarias gariepinus (North African catfish), 1114 nucleotides long. RefSeq lists it as uncharacterized. NCBI's taxonomy places the organism in Eukaryota, Metazoa, Chordata, Actinopteri, Siluriformes, Clariidae. The record is from RefSeq and is a predicted model, not a curated record. The transcript is spliced from 3 exons.